RNAcentral lists this long non-coding RNA (2060 nucleotides) under Equus caballus (horse). Its description in RNAcentral is "lncRNA (ENSECAG00000044075.1)". Lineage: Eukaryota; Metazoa; Chordata; Mammalia; Perissodactyla; Equidae. The record is from RNAcentral.
GAAGCUCUGUCCUAGAGCACUGUUUGGCUUUCUUGUUCUGUCUGUGUCGUAUUUAUUAAGAGCACAAUACCUUCGGGAAUUUGAGGGCAUGUGUGAAGUAAAUACAAACCCCACUCAGUACUUAAUCAUUAGGCGUCGCUGAAGUAGAGAAACAAGAUGCGCAGAGCAGCUUCUCCCACGCGGAGCACUGGCUGCCCACCCUCUUAUGCCCAGCACCAGGCAGGCGCUCCUGGGAAACAGACAGGGGCUUGUAACUAAUGAAUGACAACAGAAACAUUAAUAUUCCUGCCACGCAACCAAAUCCAUCCUGCAUGGAAUAGGACUACAUUCGCUGUGUACAGAGUGGGAAAGGCCCUAGGUGAGGUGGUAAUUGAAGAAGGGUUGUAGGAAUGCCAGGUGCCGGGAGUUACAGGCCUGCUUGCCUUUUGUCUUCCUCACAGCCCCAGAAUAGAGUUUUAGGAGCUGUGUGUGUGAUUAGAGGAGGAAGCCAGGGGAACGUUACAGGGUCAGCAUUUCAGGAACACGGUGAGACUCUGAGGCAAGGUGAAUAAAGAUGAGCCAAGGACAACAGAAAGGCCCAACUGAAGGGAAUUGAAAUCCUGGAGAGAACAAAGAUGACUUCAUGAUCAGAAGGAAAGUGUCUCUCACGAGCUCCAAGGUGAUUAGAAGUUUCCAUAGCGCUGAAAAGGAUGGAUGAUCAAUGUCUAGGUGUCACCUAAUUCACACGUUCUUACGCAAACCUGGAGGACAUGGAGACCGAAGGCUGGUGGAAGGCUGCCUGGAGACAAACACAGAGAAACAGAAGGGCCUCUGAGUUCCCUUCUAUCAUCUCACCCCUGAAUCUUCAGGACAUCUACCUAGAAAGAGAGUCCCUUUGAACUGCUAUAACGAGACUAUGAUUGAAUCAUUUCUGCGAGAUGUCCAGAUGUUAGAGUACAGCCUGUGAAUCAUCUGAAUUAAGAGUUGCGCCUAGAGGAGUUUAUUUAAUUCUACAAAAUACCAUGAAAUGUGUCAUCUCAGCUCAACGUCAUAGAACGCAUCCUGCAUUCUUUUCUCCCAUGGACCCUUGUCCCCGCAUCAGUAGUGACGCAGUGCCUCCAUGGACGGUUCCAGAACACACCAUGCUCCUUGCUGCAGGUUCGGGCCAUUUUCUACACCAACUCCCAAAUGCCUGGAAGCGGGUCUCAAACCUUUCCAUGCACAAAAAUCACGAGAUCUUGUUAAAAUGCUGACUCCUGGUUUUACAUUUUAAAAUUAGUUCGCCCAGCUGUUCAGUUGCAGGUAACCCUUGGAUUCUACUUGAAUAAACACAGCUUUCUUCCCCAUUCCCGCCUCCCUGAUGAAGCCUUCUGACAGAUGCUACCCAUACUGAUGUCUUCCUUGGACUCUAGAGUGAUAAAUUGACCUCUGAUUCAGCCCUGAAUAGUUUAUCUUCUUGCGUUGUUGUUUAUUUCAUGUGAUACUGUCUCAGUUCUGUCCUCUACUGAACACUCCGGGACGAACCCGUGUCUGAAAUGAUGUUAUAGUGAUGUACAAUAGACAUUAAAUAAGACUGGCAUGGAAUGUCCACGGAACAGACAGUCUCUCGUGGCAAAAGAAUGGAGUUAUUUAUAGACUGGAAGGUGACUGGAGAGAGAUGCCCUGAGAGAAAGCAGACAUUCAAUGAAGGAAGCGCUGGCAUGUGGGCAGCGUUGCCUUCGCCUUCCUUGGUGCCUCUACAGAAGCAAAGCCCAGGCAGUGCGGGCCCGCAGAGCCCCGCGUCCCGGGACGGGUUCUGCCCUUCCCUGCUGUGUGACCUGGGAGUGUCCCUUCUCUGGACCUUAGCGUGCCCAACUAGGAAAGGGAAUUUUAUGGCAUGAUCUCUCAAGUCCCUCCUGAUGCUACAGUCUGGACAUUCACUCGUAUCCGGGAAGGCUACCAGAAAGACUAGUGUUACUCAAAGGAAGCAUUUCCUGGCUGUGACAGUUGUCAGUACCUCUGUUCUCAGCUUUCUUUUUCUAAUUUCAAAUUAUUCCUUCAUUUAAAAACUCUUUUUCCAUAUUUUCUCCACUGUUUUAAAC